AGGAUAAGAAGACAUAUUAGUUGUACCUUUUGUAUCAGGGGAAUUUAAAAAUAAACUUAGUUUAUUGUCGAAUUAAUCAGAUCUUCUAUGGGUUUAGUUAUUAAUGGCAUCUAAUGGACAAAGUCGUUUAAGAGGUAAAAAGUGUACGGUGGUUAGUGUAUCUAUUUGUUUUUGUUAUAAAGGGAUAAGCUUUUAGUAAUCUAAAAAAUAGCACGGUGAAAAAAACUAGGCUUUAAAGUAGCUAAGUUGUCAUAUUGUUUAAAAUGAUUUUUUAUAUAAGGUAGGUAUAGAUUUUAAGAAACUAUAUCAAUAAUUAUUAAUUUAUAAAAAUAAUGAAUUUAUUGAAUAGUGAAUGAAAUCUUAAAAGAACUCAAAAUAUUUUAGAGAGUUUAACAAAAACAUUUCUAUGCGAAGGUAACAAAGUAAUACCUGCCCAAUGAUAGUUAAAUGGCUGCGGUAUUUUGACUGUGCUAAGGUAGCAUAAUCAAUUGUUUCUUAAUUGGUAACUGGAAUGAAAGGUUUAACUAUCAUAUUUAGUUUGUUAAGUUAAAUAGAAUAUUAAAGUCAAGGUAAUAAUUCUUUGAUUUUCUAGGGGACGAUAAGACCCUAGAAGCUUGAUAAAUUGAGUACACAUUGGUUGUGAGGUUAAAUUUAUUUAACUGGGGCGGUGGCAAUAAAUAAACUAUUGUAAAUUUAAUAGAUCCUUAUAAUAAAGACAAAAUGGUAAGUUACUCUAGGGUUAACAGUGUAAUGUACUUGGAGAGAUCUUAUUGAUAAGUACGGUUACAACCUCGAUGUUGAAUUAAGAGUUCUUAAUGGUGCAGUGGUCAUAGGAGAAGGUU
Molecule: ribosomal RNA, 842 nt
Filed under: Gammarus pisinnus
Lineage: Eukaryota; Metazoa; Arthropoda; Malacostraca; Amphipoda; Gammaridae
Description: partial 16S ribosomal RNA
Source: RNAcentral